Argiope bruennichi is the source of this 196-nucleotide long non-coding RNA. RefSeq lists it as uncharacterized. The transcript has 3 exons. The record is from RefSeq and is a predicted model, not a curated record. NCBI's taxonomy places the organism in Eukaryota, Metazoa, Arthropoda, Arachnida, Araneae, Araneidae.
UGAGACGUUAAAGUUAUUUUUCUCCUGGGAAAGUGGCUAUCAAAACAAAAGUUGUUCUUUUUUCGCUGUGUCGCCUGAUGAAUGGCGACUGAGAGAUAUUUUGAACGUUACUUCGCCGUUGCCGUUUUCAUUUUAGCAUUUGAAUAUGGCAACGCUCGUCCUACAAUGGAUUCGCUCUAUGGAGAUCAUGUCUACU